This 854-nucleotide long non-coding RNA is filed under the name Oryza sativa (Asian cultivated rice). Its description in RNAcentral is "long non-coding RNA (OSAT_LNC000725)". Lineage: Eukaryota; Viridiplantae; Streptophyta; Magnoliopsida; Poales; Poaceae. The record is from RNAcentral.
GGUAUUAAAGUGUCAAGGUGGAGGUUGGAAAAAAUAACAUGAUAAAACCGUAGCAAACCACAGCUACAUUCACUUGCCUCCAAUGAAGGGUUGGUAUCAUACACGAUCUGAAGGACCACCACCUAAUCACAAUCAAAGCCUCAGCAAACACUCUCAAAUAUGAAUAUAUAACAGUAAAUAACAUGCAUCUACGGCCUCAAGACCUCAAAACGCAAAAACAAGAAACGCCGCUUGGACUAUAAACAAUACUGUUGCUUCAAACCUUUAUAUCUCGAAAUAUAAAAAUUGUAUGACUGCAAAUAAAUACAUUUUGGAAAUCUACAGAAUGAGACCUACAACUUUCGUGUAGAACCCAUAUUUUUAUUCUGCCAUUUAGAUGGCCUAAAGCUCAAAUCAAGACAAGCUUCAGAAUCUGCCCAAGAAUUCAGACUGCCACACUUAAAACAGCCAUAUCUGGAGUUCUACUCGCCAAUCAAAGUGUACUUUACCAAUAUGGAAAGCUAAGGAAAAACUCUACAACUUCCUAGUUAUAAACUUUCGCAGCAAAAUCAUUUUGAUCCUCUAAUUAGCGAAAUACAGAGACACAACAAAGCUGACAGGGCCUAGAAACACUAAUCCAAAACACAACACCUAAUCCCAUCCUCUAACCUUCGAAUAACGCCGAAUUACAACCCUAAAAUAACCUACAACCUCUGCACAGGAGAGUUAAGCCUCACCUAGGGUUUGGAGAACUUGAGAGAAUAUGAUGGGAAAACCAACUCACCACUCUUCCUGCUCCUCUCCUCUUCCUCGAUCCGUUUUUCCAAUCAGAUUCUUGAUUAGGGCUAUGGUUCUUGGAGAUCCAUGGAGUAGGG